GGGGGGGGGGGGGGGGCAAUGUGACAGAAGCGGAUUUCAUCUACAUUCUCCUCCAAUUCCACUUAAUACUAUUGAUGAAAUACGUUUGGUCUGAAUUAUGUAAAUUAAAAAUGAUCGCAAAUAAUUUGUAGAUUAAUGGAAAUACGUGUACCUUAAUUGCUCCAUGAUAUCAACAAGAUCGCCAAACAAAAAUUGUAAUUAAAAAUAACUUUCAGGGUAGGAAAUGUCAUCGAAUUUUGAGAUGUAGUGUCGCCGCUUGAGUUAUCGCUCUUUGAUUGUGUGUUUGUGCGGCAGCUGUACAUAUUACAGAAUCUGAAAUGUUUGAGUUUAGUGGAACGAACUUCAGUUAUUAUUGUACACGGGCUGUGAGUCAGUAGAUACACCUGUAAUAAAAAUAGUAUUUUUUAAUUUAUUGAACUAAAAUUGAUCUUUAAGUACAACAUGGUCAAAUAUAAGAGCAUUUCAUUGAUAGUUUGAAAUUAAUGUACAGUAUUAUUUAGAUUUCCUGGCUAUUAAGUUUGAAAAUGCAGAUCGAAAGUUGGGCGUUUUCCCCCUUAAUUAAAGCAAUGGAAGCGAAAGAUGAAAAUGUGAAGAUAACGAACAGUGAUCAAUUUCAUAAGUCCCAAAUUAAGAGUUGGGCUGACACGGACCUCUAGACAUACUAGAGGUGUAGUCAGGUGCCUAAGAGGAGUAAGCAUCCCCUGUCGACCAGUCACACCCAUCAUGAGCCUUUUUCAUGUAUCUUGGUCAGGUAAACGGAGAAAUCCGUAGUGAAAAUCAGUAUGUAAAGAACGGCUUAACAAUUGAAACAUCAGACGGCAUUCGGCCUAACGACAGGCUGUAUUUGCAUAUCUAAGAUUAUUAUCACGACCAUAGAAUUUGCGAAAUGCUAAUUUUAAACGAGGCAGUUGAAACCCCUCUAUCAUCAACUUAUUUGCCAGUAGGCUGCUUCGAUUUAAAAAUUGAUCAUACUCAUUAAGAAAAUAGUUUGCAUGUAACACUGUUGUGGAAGAUAAGUCGGCGUAUUGAAUAGCGAUUGUCGUUGACUUAUAAGGAAUUCGACAUUGGGAACUGACAUAUAAUAUAAUAGUUACAUUUCCAAUCUUUUUGUCUUUGAUAUCUCUUUAUAUUGUAUUGAUACAUGUAGCCGUUUCUUUAUGAAUGCACUGUAGUCGUGAACCUGUGCGUGUGAAUCUUGGUAGACAUAUUACGUCUGUUCUAACGGCUGGGGAUUUCCACAGAAUUGAAAGUUCUGUAGAGUGUAGAUUUAUAAUAAAGUAAAUUGCAUUUUUGAAAAUGCACGAGGGUAUGGACCGCACGCUUCACGGCAGCCUACCCUUUUUGAAGCCAACACACGUCAUGAAGUAUGCCCAGCCGGCGUGAAGCGUCACAGUUCGUACCCUCGUGUACGUAUUUUCUAAAAUGAAAUUUACUUGAGUAUUUUCAAUUUGUUACAACUUUUCAUUCACACAAUUUGAAAGAUUUGGGAGUGUAGGCGCACUUCAAUAGGAAGCUGUUCUGAUCAUUACAGAUGAUGUAUAUAUGUACAUAUUGAAUUUGUGGCCCUGUACAUGUAAAGGCACUGCUAUCACGUGCGCUGGGGAUCUGUACAACUUACUGUGGAGUCUUAUAAUGGCAUCUCAUUUAUAAAGACGAGUUUGUCUGAUGGGAUUAGAGCUACAUUUGCAUGGGAGGUAUAGACCGUUAUGCUAAAACUGGCUUAUGACCCCCCCCCCCCUAGAGGUCAGAGGUCAAACAUAUCCUCCUCUGGAAGCCUAUUCUCUUCACCUGCACCUCUGUGAGUCACGGGCGGCGAUCCGCUCCUUUUCGUUUGCAUUGGGCAAUGAUGAAUAGGGGAGUGGAUCGUCAAUCCUGAUUAGUGACGAUGCUACUUGCAGCAAUGUUGAGACAGCAUUUUAUUAAAGUGAUGAUCCUUACGAGGAAUAUCCUGUCGUGUUCCAGACGCCACUUGCGCGCAUGUGCAGGGUAAUAUAUAUGUACAAGUAUAUACCCACAAUUAGUUGUAAGGAAAUAAUGAAGACUCACACCCUCUCCUAGAAGGCGAUAAUUGUCAAUUUGGAAAAUAUGAAUGGACUCGUGUAAAUGCCACUAGAGCAGAAAUGACUUGUAAGUUGUAUAUUCAUUUGAUUACCAGCAGUAAUUCAUAUCAAGAAUUACGUAAACGUGCUUAGUUUUGGCGACAUCAAAAAUUAACUCUUGAAGAAGUAAAUUCGCCCAGUUCGCAAUUCGAUUUACAUAUUUGUAUAUUCUAAUGGACAAGUAUAUAGGCCUAUAGUCAUAUUACAAAACAAAGUGUAUCUAUAGACUGAGGUUUUAAUUUUAAUCGACCCCCCCCCCUCCCCCAGGGUUGGUGUUGAGACACUUGAUGGGACCGAAAUCUUUUAUUCAGGGUAAACAACAUUUUGUGAGUUUGUUGAUAUUCGUGUGGACUGACUAUUCUGUAUGUUUACGAUAGUCAUACCGAUAGCUGUAAAUUGUUUAUUAUAAGGAGAACACAAUUUCAUACAUCUUAAUUUUUCAACAUUAAUUUUUACAUAUUAAAAGUCCUUGCAAGAUCUUUCAUGGCAUCUUAUGCUAAAGGAUCUUUGAUACGAUAAAAUACGAUUGAUUGCGAAUAAUAAAAAAUAAUAAACACCCAAAUUUCAAGCGCAAAGUACAAAAAUGGCAUUAACCUGAAUGUUUAUGCACUUGAACAAUUCAUUAUGAAUCUAUAAACUUUUGCACGCAAUGAAUUACUCUAAUUAAAUCUAAUUGAUGUGCUAAAUUAGCGUUCGAAUGAAUUACAUAUUCUUGGAAUACCACGGAUUCUUACAUGACAUUAAUUCGUUUCAAUCAUAACAAUAUAUUAAUUCAAAAGUGCGCAGUACUGGACCAAAUAUAUACAUACCGAAUUGUCACAAAAUGAACUGGAAAGUAAACAAUAAAACAAAAGCUUAUUGUGACGUCAUUGUAGAUCUUAAAGCUAGUCUAGCAUUAGAUUUAGGCAAAUCUAUCGAUAUCGCGUUAUCAGUCUUUUCUUGUGGAAACAUUGUCCAAUCAAGGAAUUUUACAGUACCAUAUCAAAACAGAAAAUCAAAUAAAGGGUUGAAGAAAAGCAAACGAAAAUAGCAGGAGAGCUGGUUCUUUAAUCCUGGAGUGAAGUUGACAGAUGACAGCUUAAGUUGGGAGGAAAAAUCUUUUCGCUUUAUUAACGCAAACUCGGUAUUUUGGGUCUCUUUGGGAGCAAACUGAAGAGUAAAGAUAAGAAAAACGCCAUUUCUCAAGCCUGCGUUAUCCCCAGUCAUCAAUCUCUACUGGUCCCCAUUUGCAUAUUCUUAAUGCACGUUGAUCUCCAAAAAUGACCGAUAACGUCGCAUGGCCCGAGCUUAUCUUUGCACAACGGGCCCGCGAAACAAAGCGAGGCAUUGUUCGCGAUGUAAUAUAAUUCUCCUACGAAGGACCUCCGGAUUAAAGGCCCAAUAACGUCCGUUUAACUGCGUCGUUACAUGGCUCGAUCUCCACUUCCGUUCUGCAUAAAGUUGCUGAUGCUGUCUGCGAGGUGACGUUUAAUUCAUUGUCUUUUUGGCCUCCUAUUGCUUUUUUAUUGUCCUACUGACUAAAAGAUAAAAAACGUGUUUUUCCAAUGACAAGUCAUUGAGCCACACGAAUUAAUGAAAAGUCGUCAAAAACCUUCUAGGAAAAAAAAAUGUCGAUGUAAAUAACACCCCCACCAAAACUUAUCCGUCCUGACAUUAUAUAGCAAACAAUUUUUUUUUAGUGGUCCAUGAUGAUUAUUUUGCAAUGCAGCAAGCCUUUGAAAUAUUUUCCCCUCUCAUAUGAUAUCUGACGAACCACACUUUAGUCAUAAAUACUAUUAACACAAUCCGUGCCUCGGGUCCAUCAAAUGUUAUCAGUUCUAACACACACAACCAGUGUGACGGACUUUUUAGACAAUAAUCCAAUUAAACCGAUUUGGAAACCCAUACUGCUAUCUUGUAAAUACUUUUAUGGGAUAAAUAGCAACCCAUGGGGUGGAAAUGAAUGGAGACCAAUCCCCACAGGGCGCGAAUACGGGCGAGUCACUUACUUAACAGCGUCACUUACCCUUCUGUCAAUAACACACGCGCUGUCUCGUAGAUGUUGGCGCUUUUGCACGUGUCAGUGUGGCGCUGUUGUCUUCCUGUCCUGCUUUUACCCAUUUCCGAUAUUGUUCUAAGAAUUUUCUGGGGUCAAUUCUAUUUUCUUGAGAAGACAGACUGACACUUGCACGCUUGUUUGACGGAAAAUCUUGACAGAAUUUAAAGAACACAGACAUUACAUGGCCGCUAGGUCUCCGUGACCAGAGACAUAUGUAUAGUAUGUUAUGCAUGUCUAAGCUAUGACCGAGUCCAUUCCUUGAUUCUUUUCUAAGCUUUAUUUAGGAUCUAAUGAGGUCAAUCAAAUGUAUGAUGAAACCAGAAACAAAACUGAAAUAAAACUUCAAAACUUAUAAAUAUUUUGGAGUCGUGCGAAUUUUACCUUCAGGACAUGUCUUGUGAAAUUUCACGUGAAACUAAAGCAGCCAUCCAUACUUCUUGAAACCGUGUUAGAAGAUGGGGUUUAAUUGAUUACUAGCUUCGAAAUAGCGGGCUUUGAUAAAGAUGUUUGUACAGAUGUACAAAAUGGCUGGUAUUAAAUUGUCGUCUUUUUCAUGUGUUCCCCUGACUUGUUUUUAUACUUGUCAGUCUGUUUUAUGGAUGACGCUAAUAACCCCUCUUCAGUUUGACCAUUUAGACGAAAUUUGGUGUUAAAUGAUAUAAAUACUCUUUGUAGGAAUCAGUUCUGACAUCGUCGAACGGUGGGUGGUGAUUGGUUACAAUGCAGUCUGUAAUUUUCCAAUUUGAUUGGUUUAUUCUGCUUGAAUGACCUUGACCCUUGCCGUAGGCAGAUGACAGCUGUUAUCAUGUCCGCCUUCACACAAACGACUCUGUCAAUUUGCUGAUUCUAUUUCCAUUUUAUUUUCGUUUUUGUCUUUAAUCAGUGAUAAAGGGAAUGUGUCUUAUGACUUCAGCCAAAAAAAAAAAAAAAAAAAAAAAAAAAUCGAAAUUAAACCAAACUAAGCCACGCUGAUAACAAGAAGACCUAUGAUUUUACUUUUAUGCGCAUGUAUAAUUCUUUUAAAGAGCUGCACAUGUACAAAAAUGAAACGUUUAAUUUGAAAUCAACUAUCCGAUAAAAAUAAAGGAGAAAAUGGUCAUCAACAGUUUGUCAUCAUGUUUGCUAUAUUUUUUCGAUCAAUCUACCAUAAAAUAAAAUAAUAAUAACACAAUAGCUUAUUGUAAUUUCUUUCAGGAUUAUUCUGUUGUGGUUAUUUUCUAAGGAUGUGAAAGAAUGUUACUCAAGUUACCAAAAUAGCUCAUUGGCUGUCAGUAUUUGCACAUCUGACCAAAAAUAAAAUUUAUUUUUCUACCUAGGUUUCUGAAAAUGAUAUAUAAUGAUUGAUCACAAAGUAAGAAAAUCUACUUAUCAAUAUUUUGAAUUUAGGUCGAGGAAGAAACAUACCCAUUCCAUCUGAAAGACAUUCAUUUCUUUAUUCUUGACCCAAAAGAGAGAAAAUUAAAAGAAAAACAAAAUCUAAAAAAACCUGUUUAAAAUAGGAAGAUAAUUUUUAACUUCAUAGAAAUAGAAUAUUUGAGUGUAUUUACAUAUGUACAUUAAAUGUUGUUUUCCAAUCAACCUACCAAUGUACAACAUAUAAUUAUAUGUAUAACACAGAACCUAUAAUUAUAUGUAUAAUACAAAACCUAGCCGAGGUGUCCAUUUCAAACUUUCCCCAUUCCAGGAGAAAGUAAUGUCAAAAUCUCCCCAGCAUUUUAGAGAUUAUUCUGUAGGUGAUAUUUGUAACACAUUUACACACUGUUCUAAAUGUAAAGUUAUAGGUCAAUUGAGGGUACGGAGGUGACCCGUGUUUCAGGUCUCUUAUGUGCGUCUGUCGUGACUGAGAGCGUUGUACGUUAAUAACAAUUUUUCAAAUUCUACUGCGUCAAUAUUAACCAAAAUAAGCCUUUAGAAUUACAUUAUGUAUUACAGAGGGGGAACAAAAUUGUAAAUUUCACCCCCUACAAUAAAACAGAAGGUAAAGCCACCUCUUUUGUCAGACUUUUAAUGUGUGAUCCGAGACGUUGUUUUUAUGUGUAUUUAUUAAUUCCCCUCUAGAACAUUUAUGCCAGUAGUCUUUUAGCUUUUAUUCAUUUUUAUUUAUUCUUUUAAGUGUGACGCUGUUUUAGAAAUCGGGUAUUUUUAUUUGUAUUUAUUAUUUGGGGGAUUUGUUGUUUGUAAUUUUAGUAAACUGUAAAGCUCUUUCGAGUACUGUUUAGAUAAGGCGCCAUAUUAUCAUUAUAAACCUUCUUUACUUCGGACAAUCUGUACAUAGUCAUGAUAUAAGUAAGGAUUCCUUAUAUGCUUAUGAAAUUCAUAGCCAUUGAAUUACUUUACAUCUUUUAAGAUCGCCUUCCUGACUUUUCUUGAACAACCAACACAUAGAACAUAGUGAUGAUGAGGAAAUCAUUCUCUAUCAAAAUUGUUAAAUUCAUGACCCGUGGUUAGGGAUUCUGUUAUCGGGCGGAAUUCUGUUCGUUUAGUGAAAAUAUAUUAUUUGUUUAAAAUCUUCUUUCUGAAUUUUGGACAUGAGAAAAAUUAAACUGACAGUAUGCAAAAAUUAACGGAGACCGAUAGACUAAAGAAUAAAUAGUCUUGUAAAUGCAUAUUCAAAAUCAAGUUCUAAAUCUGUCUCAUGAAAUACAAAUAUAGAGUACAAUUAAAAAAAAGGGAUACUUGUUACUUUGUAGCUGAUCUGCAGUAAAUCAAUCAGGUCUCUAGAUUUCGAACCAAUUGUCCAUAGUACAGAAAAGUAAAGAACCAGAGCCACAUAGUACAGAAAAGUAAACGCACAUUGAACUGAGUAACGUACUAGCAGUAAUAAGGAAGGAGACAUCUACCAGAACUGUAAAUUUGAUGACCUCGGGGUCGGGGAAUUUUAUGAUCGGACGAGACUUUAUGGUUCAUUAGUGAAAAUUUUAAGUUCCUCUGAUGUCCAGAACGCCGGACAUCCAGGAAGGCCUCUAUUGGGUAUAUGUUGAAGCCUCGAAAAAUACCGACUUCAAGGUUAUGAGAAACUAGAAAACCAACUUUGUAAAAUUCCUGGUCCCUGGUUGAAGAGUUCAUUCCCCUGUUAGGGUUCUACAUAUUGCAUAGGGGGGAAACCCCCAACAAAUGUUAAAAAUCUUCUCUUUAUUCGCUGUUGAACAUAGAGCAAACAAGUUUUGUCCGCAGUAUAAGUCUCCGUCAAUAAGGCUUAAACACAAUGUAUUGCUGUUUGUCUAUCUAUCUGUUUUCUGUACGUCCAUCCUACGUCUUUCUUUAUAUAUCGUUUUACGUUUCAUUUAUAUAGUGACGUCACCAGCAUUAGAAGUGCCACCAUUCCUGACUUAUGCAUGACGCUGAAGACGGUAGCAGUGAGGAUUCUUUAUCGUGCCAACGUCUUAUUUCAUUUCUAAUACCGGUCUCUUUGCGAAGGAGCGUUCACGACUAAUGCUUAAACGGAAUAGUUUGGACGCGAUGCCGGGAUCGAGAAUCGAACCCAGGACUAGUCUCGCUUUCCCCAGACUCUCGCUCUGGAGACUUUGCACAAGCUCGUACAAAGUCUCGAGAGCGAGAGUCUGGGGAAAGCGAGACUAACCCCGGACUUCCGGUUACAAAGCGAGCGUAUACUAAACUUUACCCAACCGCGACCGCUUCACCCAGUUUUGUUUUUGACCACAACUUUGUAUACUAGUACGUGAGAAACAUUAGAAGCUUAUACUUGGGGCAAAUGUUGCUUAUAAAUACAUAUAUUUACAUUCACUGAAUCUUUUCUCUUAUAUUUCUUUUGAAAUUGACAUUGCUUUUAUCAUGGAGUAAAUACAUGUUUGUUGCAAAUUAGUUCCAUCCGGUUUUCUAGUACUGCCUGUCUGCAAAAUCAUUACCAAAUAUGAAGUGUCAUCAAGGUCAAAGGGUGCAUUGGCUGUUCCAUGGGUCAACCACAUGAUAUUUUAGAUCUUAAUUCUAGUUCAUAUUUCUAAAUAAUGCAUAAAAAAUAUGAAUAUAAGCAAUAUAAUGUCUUUCUUUGUUGUUUCAUUUUUGGGUGAUGAAGGUUGGAAUCAUUGCAGAAAGAAUUUACAUAACCCGCUUACGCUUACGCGGGUUGUGCAUUUUUUUCUGCAAUGCAAGCUACCUUCAUCACCUGAUGAAACAACAAAGAAAACAUUUUAUUGUUUAAGUAACCAGAUAACCCUGAAAGAAGGUGAUUUGUCCAAGGUCAAGGUGAAAACAAAUGUCUAAGCAUAGUUUCCCUUUCGAUCUCGAAGUUGCAAAGUUACACCAUCAAUAUACAAAACUUCUACAUGUAAUACUUCUAUACUUUUAUUUUGAUUACGGAUUACUCCGUUUACCUGAUCAAAAUACAGGGCUCGUGGUAGGUGUGACUGGUCAACAGGGAAUGCUUACUCCUGCUAGGCACCUGAUCCCACUUCUGGUACAUGUAUGUCCAGAGUCCGUGUUUACCCACUUAAGUUUGUAUUCCUUGUGAGAGUUAUGAGAUUGAUCGCUGUUCGUUAUCUUCACCUUUCCAUGUAAUACAUGGAAUUUUUUCUAUUUGUGAUACUUGAGUCACUUUUAAGGCUGAUUGGGUCUCUUGUUCAGAAUUCAUGUUGAUUUGGGAUGGCGUUAUUAGUAGAGCCGACAUUAAUUUAUCAUGGACAUCAUCACACAGAAUCAGUACGGGAAGUGAUGGUCACUACUAUAAGAGUCCCUGUCUAAGACUCUUUAACAGACCCCUCGAACUCAUUCCUACAACAAUGGUGCCAUUGUGGUACUACACACAGUCCAAUUUCCAAGUUUCCUCGUUGUCUUGUCAAAAUCAACCGAAGACGAAAUCGGGCGACGAAUGACCGCUUCUUCGGAAUAAAACAUGACCUCGGAAACUGGCAAUCUUCCAGCAGUGGAUUGGAUCCGGAACUAUGGCAAUACCGCCGACCCUAUAGUCAACUCUACAAAUAAAAAGAUGUAAGAGUGCUCGGUGUCUUAGUCCACUUCUCGGCUAUCUCGUAUGUAGAGUGUUGACAUGGAAAGUUCUCUUUUUAAUAUAAAUUAUGGUGUGUGUAGUUAGCCUUGAUAUUCUGACACCAUGCAGUGCCUGGACCCGGUGAAUAGUAGGUCUUGUAGACAUGCAGUGCCUGGACCUGGUGAAUAGUAGGUCUAGUAGACAUGCAGUGCCUGGACCCGGUGAAUAGUAGGUCUAGUAGACAUGGCUUCUCAGUAGGUCACACGAGUUUUCAGUCCAUCCUGUGACUGAAUAUGAGGUGAGAAUGUACAAUAACCAGACUACACUGAUUACGAGGGCCUAGGGUACAGGUUAACAGUGUUUGUGUUGUGACCCGACAGCGCACAUCAUAAGCAAGGUGUUCGUAUGUAAAUUCAUUGUCCUCAGCUUCGUGUGCCUUUUGCCUAUGAUGUGUUUUAUGUAUUCACAAUCAAAUUAUUGUUUAAAUUAAAGCAGAAUGUUUAUAAAGCAAUAAAUACUGCAUCUGUUAACAACAA
Ostrea edulis (European flat oyster) is the source of this 9615-nucleotide long non-coding RNA. RefSeq lists it as uncharacterized. NCBI's taxonomy places the organism in Eukaryota, Metazoa, Mollusca, Bivalvia, Ostreida, Ostreidae. The record is from RefSeq and is a predicted model, not a curated record. The transcript is spliced from 2 exons.